Long non-coding RNA from Stegodyphus dumicola, 327 nucleotides. Lineage: Eukaryota; Metazoa; Arthropoda; Arachnida; Araneae; Eresidae. The record is from RefSeq and is a predicted model, not a curated record.
AGCAGUUCUGCAGUAGCUUCAUAUCUGAGGGACAUUCUCCAAUUCUAUCUUCCAGAGAGAGAAUAUCGUAGAAGUAUCAUCAUCAUGCAAGUAUAUGAAAUUGUAGCAUUAGCUUUCGCCAUCAUUAUGGCUGCGGCAAUGGACGGUGCCGGCAUGCCAGGUGUGCCUAAAUUACCAGGUGCAUAAAGGAAAGGAAGAGAUGCAGCAUUCGGGAGACUUCAGCUUUUUGGAAUCUCACCCAAUGAAGUGCUCUUGUUACCAAAAGAGAUCUGAAGUUGAACUUGCUUAAAUUUUCCAGAUUGAAAUAAAGCAAUAAUUACUUCAGAA